Molecule: non-coding RNA, 30 nt
Filed under: Mus musculus (house mouse)
Lineage: Eukaryota; Metazoa; Chordata; Mammalia; Rodentia; Muridae
Source: RNAcentral
UAUGGGAUAAGUAUGAUGGUCGGCAGCGGU